This 395-nucleotide ribosomal RNA is filed under the name uncultured bacterium. Its description in RNAcentral is "partial 16S ribosomal RNA". It matches the Rfam family "Bacterial small subunit ribosomal RNA", at positions 523 to 918 of the family's 1533-position model. The record is from RNAcentral.
AUACGUAGGGGGCGAGCGUUGUCCGGAAUGAUUGGGCGUAAAGGGCGCGUAGGCGGCCCGGUAAGUCUGGAGUGAAAGUCCUGUUUUUAAGAUGGGAAUUGCUUUGGAUACUGUCGGGCUUGAGUGCAGGAGAGGUAAGUGGAAUUCCCAGUGUAGCGGUGAAAUGCGUAGAGAUUGGGAGGAACACCAGUGGCGAAGGCGACUUCAUGGCACAAAACUGACGCUCAUGGGCAAAGGCUAGGGUAGCGAACGGGAUUAGAUACCCCGGUAGUCCUAGCCGUAAACGAUGGAUACUAGGUGUGGGUGUCGCAGGGCAUCCGUGCCGCAGCUAACGCGUUAAGUAUCCCGCCUGGGGACUACGGUCGCAAGACUGAAACUCAAAUGAAUUGGCGGGG